This 878-nucleotide long non-coding RNA is filed under the name Musa acuminata (dwarf banana). RNAcentral's name for it is "long non-coding RNA (MACU_LNC003282)". The record is from RNAcentral. Lineage: Eukaryota; Viridiplantae; Streptophyta; Magnoliopsida; Zingiberales; Musaceae.
AGGAUUAUCCAAAGAUGAGAAUAAAAUAUAAUUGCAAUUCUGAAUCAGGCCAUACCAUCAAUAAAAUUAUCAGACUCAAUUCACGGUUUAGUCUUAGACAUGUUUGAAGAAAAGCUACAAAUGACAUAUCUAGUUGAGGUGUGGUGCUACUAAUUAAUAAUAUCAGGAGUGAGGAAAAAAGGCCUAAAGCUGCUACUUAUUUUGAAGUCCUUGAUUAGACCAAUGACAUUGACCUCAACAAAGCUUAAUGGAAGAAAGUAUCCAUGGUUAUUUUCAUUACAAGGAAAAAACAGUUCAUAUGACCCCAAAAGAAGCUGCUACUCAUCCAUGCAAAUGAACUUGUUGGAAGAAACCAAAACACUUGAAAGCUAACUGUCAGCAAAAACAAAAUGCUCAUUAUGACACUCACAUGGUUUAUGGUAACUGGAAUGCUUCUCAUGAAAGUUGUCUUUAAAUCAAAGGCUAUAAUUUAUUCUUUCACGUCAUCUAGCCAAUAUAAAAAUUCAGUCUAUAUUGCUUUCAAUACCAACUUUUCUAGUUCAAAUAAUAUGGUGCAAUUAUGUUAGAAAUAGGCACACUGCAACACUGACAGACAUGAGAUAGUCUGGUGCCAAUUCUAUACCAAAGCCUGUAUGAUGCAUGCCAAGUAAUGGACUACUGGAGCCUUUCCUCAAAUCACAUUCAAGUUUAUAAAGUGUCUUUGGCAAAAUUUUCUUUUAAAUUUCUGUAGUUCCUAAAAUUAUAGUUGUAUGAGAACCACCUGAAACAAUUGUUAUAUUCUUGAUGCUUGAACACUAAAGGGUAGAUCCAUAAUAUUAUGUUAGUAAUAGGCACACUGCAAUACUGACAGACAUGAGACAGUCUGGUGCCAAUUUACC